GAUGACCUCUGGCGGCGUGCUUAACACAUGCAAGUCGAGCGAAGCGCUUAAGUUUGAUUCUUCGGAUGAAGACUUUUGUGACUGAGCGGCGGACGGGUGAGUAACGCGUGGGUAACCUGCCUCAUACGGGGGGAUAACAGUUAGAAAUGACUGCUAAUACCGCAUAAGACCACGGUACCGCAUGGUACAGUGGUAAAAACUCCGGUGGUAUGAGAUGGACCCGCGUCUGAUUAGGUAGUUGGUGGGGUAACGGCCUACCAAAGCCGACGAUCAGUAGCCGACCUGAGAGGGUGACCGGCCACAUUGGGACUGAGACACGGCCCAGACUCCUACGGGAGGCAGCAGUGGGGAAUAUUGCACAAUGGAGGAAACUCUGAUGCAGCGACGCCGCGUGAAGGAUGAAGUAUUUCGGUAUGUAAACUUCUAUCAGCAGGGAAGAAAAUGACGGUACCUGACUAAGAAGCCCCGGCUAACUACGUGCCAGCAGCCGCGGUAAUACGUAGGGGGCAAGCGUUAUCCGGAUUUACUGGGUGUAAAGGGAGCGUAGACGGCACGGCAAGCCAGAUGUGAAAGCCCGGGGCUCAACCCCGGGACUGCAUUUGGAACUGCUGAGCUAGAGUGUCGGAGAGGCAAGUGGAAUUCCUAGUGUAGCGGUGAAAUGCGUAGAUAUUAGGAGGAACACCAGUGGCGAAGGCGGCUUGCUGGACGAUGACUGACGUUGAGGCUCGAAAGCGUGGGGAGCAAACAGGAUUAGAUCCCCUGGUAGUCCACGCCGUAA
RNAcentral lists this ribosomal RNA (778 nucleotides) under uncultured bacterium. Its description in RNAcentral is "bacterial SSU rRNA". It matches the Rfam family "Bacterial small subunit ribosomal RNA", at positions 28 to 805 of the family's 1533-position model. The record is from RNAcentral.